RNAcentral lists this ribosomal RNA (213 nucleotides) under Triticum aestivum (bread wheat). Its description in RNAcentral is "partial small subunit ribosomal RNA". The record is from RNAcentral. Lineage: Eukaryota; Viridiplantae; Streptophyta; Magnoliopsida; Poales; Poaceae.
AUGCAAGACUACUUCACGGAGAAUCCAACAUAUCGACCGCACCUCUUCCGGAGAAGGUACCGAAUGCGCCGAUCUCUCUUUGUGAAAAUUGUUCAAGCUUGCGAGGCAGAUUGUCGGUAUUUUACUCAAACAAGAAAUGCCGCGGGCUUGAAGGGAUUUAGUGCAUACCAAAAAAUCUCGGCAGCUAUGCGGGUGAUUGCAUAUGAUGUGUAG